This 458-nucleotide ribosomal RNA is filed under the name uncultured bacterium. Its description in RNAcentral is "partial 16S ribosomal RNA". It matches the Rfam family "Bacterial small subunit ribosomal RNA", at positions 338 to 795 of the family's 1533-position model. The record is from RNAcentral.
CCUACGGGGGGCAGCAGUGAGGAAUAUUGGUCAAUGGGCGAGAGCCUGAACCAGCCAAGUCGCGUGAGGGAGUACUGCCCUAUGGGUUGUAAACCUCUUUUGUCGGGGAGCAAAAGCCGGACGUGUCCGGCUGUGAGAGUACCCGAAGAAAAAGCAUCGGCUAACUCCGUGCCAGCAGCCGCGGUAAUAAGGAGGAUGCGAGCGUUAUCCGGAUUUAUUGGGGUUAAAGGGUGCGCAGGCGGAUUUUUAAGUCAGCGGUCAAAUCGUGGGGCUCAACCCCAUCCAGCCGUUGAAACUGGGGAUCUAGAGUGUGCGAGAGGUAUGCGGAAUGCGUGGUGUAGCGGUGAAAUGCAUAGAUAUCACGCAGAACCCCGAUUGCGAAGGCAGCAUACCGGUGCACAACUGACGCUCAGGCACGAAAGCGUGGGUAUCGAACAGGAUUAGAUACCCGGGUAGUC